This 435-nucleotide ribosomal RNA is filed under the name uncultured bacterium. RNAcentral's name for it is "bacterial SSU rRNA". It matches the Rfam family "Bacterial small subunit ribosomal RNA", at positions 29 to 507 of the family's 1533-position model. The record is from RNAcentral.
AACGAACGCUGGCGGCAGGCCUAACACAUGCAAGUCGAGCGAUCGCAGCAAUGCGGGAGCGGCAGACGGGUGAGGAACACGUGGGAACAUACCCUUUGGUUCGGAAUAACUCAGGGAAACUUGAGCUAAUACCGGAUAAGUCGGCAACGAGAAAGAUUCAUCGCCGAAGGAUUGGCCCGCGUCCGAUUAGCUAGUUGGUGUGGUAAUGGCGCACCAAGGCGACGAUCGGUAGCUGGUCUGAGAGGAUGAUCAGCCACAUUGGGACUGAGACACGGCCCAAACUCCUACGGGAGGCAGCAGUGGGGAAUAUUGGACAAUGGGCGCAAGCCUGAUCCAGCCAUGCCGCGUGAGUGAUGACGGCCCUAGGGUUGUAAAGCUCUUUCACCCACGACGAUAAUGACGGUAGUGGGAGAAGAAGCCCCGGCUAACUUCGUG